RNAcentral lists this ribosomal RNA (274 nucleotides) under uncultured bacterium. RNAcentral's name for it is "partial 16S ribosomal RNA". It matches the Rfam family "Bacterial small subunit ribosomal RNA", at positions 523 to 796 of the family's 1533-position model. The record is from RNAcentral.
AUACGGAGGGUGCAAGCGUUACUCGGAAUUACUGGGCGUAAAGCGCGCGUAGGCGGCUUAUUAAGUCAGAUGUGAAAUCCCCGGGCUCAACCUGGGAACUGCAUCUGAUACUGGUAAGCUAGAGUUUUGGAGAGGGAAGUAGAAUUUCAGGUGUAGCGGUGAAAUGCAUAGAGAUCUGAAGGAAUACCAGUGGCGAAGGCGACUUCCUGGCCAAAAACUGACGCUGAGGUGCGAAAGCGUGGGUAGCAAACGGGAUUAGAAACCCCGGUAGUCC